This is a long non-coding RNA of Homo sapiens (human), 16073 nucleotides long. RefSeq lists it as uncharacterized. Lineage: Eukaryota; Metazoa; Chordata; Mammalia; Primates; Hominidae. The transcript is spliced from 2 exons. The record is from RefSeq and is a predicted model, not a curated record.
UUCUGACCUCAGGUGAUCCACCCACCUCGGCCUCCCAAAGUGCUGGGAUUACAGGCAUGAACCACCGCGCCCAACCUGGGGGAAGAGUAUUCUAAGAUUAUAUUUCACUGUAUUGACAGUUGCCAUUUCAAUCUGAGGCCUACUUAGGUACUAUUUCUUAAAGGCUGUCAGAGGCAUAGAGAUGCUGAUGGUAAAAAUAAAGAGAUUAGUGAGAGACAUUGUUCAGUCUACAAUGAUGUGGCCACAUAGCUCCAUGGUCUUAGAGCUAGAACUGAGUGGAAAAAGCCAUGACUUCAUAAUCAUGGUCUUGAACUUUUGCUGAAACCUUCAAGUCAUUCUCCUACCAUGCCAUUCACUUCUACAUCAGUAAAAGAAGAUUAAGAGUCCCUAUGCAAAACUUUUUUUACCACCUUUUGUGGAAGGGGUGUGUUCAAAUUAUUUCCUUAAGUAACUCCUGAAUAUAAAGUUCUUCAGAAAUAUUAAGAUAUUUUUUGAAUAAAUGAUGUGAUUUUCAAUUAAUAGAGUUUCAGAUAUUCUUGAUGAUUAUAAAGUGACAAAAACUCCAGGGCAUAUACCUUGGGUACUGAAAGCUUGUGUGGGAUCAGUAAGAAGAUUAAGGAUAAGAGUGAAAUUAAAAGAAGGCUCAGCCCUGACCUGUGAACAAUCCCUCAGAGGGGAAAAAAUAUUCAAACUCAAAUAUUAAGAUUGGCUUUUAUAUUAGAAAUGAGUAAGUGUAUACAUUAAAUUAAUUCUAAUCUUUCGACUAUCUGCUGUCUAUAUAAAAUCAAAAGUAAGUUUUAGAGAUUAAGAACAUAGGGAAAAGACCUUAUUUGCCCAUAAGGAAAAUGCUCAGCUGUAUCUCUCCUCUUCUGAUUUAAACAUUCCUCUUAUUCUUCUUUCUUUCUUUCUUUCUUUUUUUUGAGAUGGAGUCUCACUGUGUUGCCCAGGCUGGAGUGCAGUGGCGUGAUCUUGGCUCACUGCAACCUCUGCCUCUCGGGUUCAAGCGAUUCUCCUGCCUCAGCCUCCCGAGUAGCUGGGAUUACAGGCAUGUGCCACCAUGCCCAGCUAACUUUUGUAUUUUAGUAGAGAUGGGGUGUCACCAUGUUGGUCAGGCUGGUCUCAGACUCCUGACCUCGCGAUCCACAUGCCUCGGCCUCCCAAAGUGCUGGGAUUACAGGCGUGAGCCACCGUGCCUGGCCCUUUCUUCUUUCUAGUAUUUAUAGGAUGUUAGAAGACCAAAGUCAAGUUAACAAUGAGGAAAAUUUUAGUUCAGCACAAUUAAGAAAAAAUGAUAGCCCCAUUUGAAGAUGAAGAAACAGUAAACAAAAGUAGAAGAAGCUAUUGGGAAAGUGUCUUCUGAUGACACAUUGCUUCUUUGAAUAAAUCUUUGUGUCAACUAAAACCUUGCCUAUGCUUUCUAUAUUGCAAGCAUCAGGUCCUUGACAUGGCUUUAAAUCUUUCCUAAGCAUUUUGAGAGGGAAUUGAUGCAAUACUUCUCACUGUUGAUAUAGUAGGGUUCCACAUAUUUACAUGGGACUUUUUGACCAAAGACCCAACUUUUCACUUUUGUACAUUUACUGUGCCUCUCAUACAGGGCUGGACUGUUUAUGUAGUCUGUUGCAUCACACUAUGGUGGCAGGGGGACAGAGUUGGGGGCACUAUUAGAAUUUGUUUAAGUCUGAACCGGGAAUUCCAUUUGUCUUAGUGACAUGAGUGUCAAAACUGUUAGUGCAACACUAUUUUAAACUGUCUGCAAGAGCCUGAGAGGCUUAUGCUUAUAGGUGCCAUCUAUAAACUUAGAAACAAACAAAGAGCCCCUCUCCAUUGAAUAGUAAGCCCAGUGGGCAAUUAAAGAACAGCUUGGGACCCCACUUGGUCAACUAGUCAGAACCAGAGCUUCUGAUAUUCCCUCUGGAUAUUGUUGAGAACUGUCACAGAAAGGCUAAAGUAAAUAAUCAAAAUGAAAAUAGUUGUUCCAGAGAAAAGUCUUGUUCUGGAAGCUUGGUGUUAAGGAAAGAAUAAUGACCACUAAUUUGUGGAUCUUUGUUAGUUCUAGUCUCAGCGGAGUCCCUUUCAGCUUGAAACAUGGAUGAACCUGUGUUUUCAAGCACCUCUGAAGAUGUUUUUAAAAUUAGGGUAUAAUUUGGGUAUAGCAAAAAUGCAUGUUUUAAUCAUACAGCUUGAUGAAUUUUUAUACUCAGCCACCACUCACAUAAAAACAUAGAAUAUUUCCGUCAACCCAGAAAGUUUCUUAUGCCCCUUCCAGUUAAUACUACCAGUGACCUAGAGGUAACCAUUUUUAUCAUCACAGAUUACCUUUACCUGUAUUAAACUUCAUAUGAUUGGAAUCAUCUUGUGUCUGUGCUUUUGUAUCUAACCUCUUUUGCUCAACUUAAUUUGUUUGAGAUUCAUCCAGGUAUUACAUGAAUCACUAGUUCAUUUUUAAUAUUGCAGUGUAGUGUUCCAUUCUUCAAAUAUACCACACUUUAUAUAUCCAAUAUUCUGUCAUUUCCAGCUUUUGGCUAUUAGGAAUAAAGCUGCUAUAAACAUUUUUUUAUAAGUCUGUCUGUCUGUCUCUCUCUCUCUCUCUGUCUCUCGUCAACAUAUGCAUACAUUUCCUUUGGGCAUAUCCCUAGUACUGGAAUUGCCGGAUCACAAAGUAGGCAUAUGUUUAACUUUAUUAGGAACUGCCAACACGUUUUCCAAAAUGACUGUACCAUUUUGCAUUCCUAUCAGCAAUGCAUGAGCGUUCCAGUUGCUCCACAUUCUCAUCAACACUUGAUAUUAUUGAUCUUUAUUUUAACCAUUCCAGUGGAUGUGAACUAUGGUUUGAAUUUGCUUUUCUCUGUUGAGUAAUGGUAUUGAGCAUCUUUAAUAUACUCAUUGGCCAUUUGGAUAUCAUCUUUUGUAAUGUCCUAGUUAACUCACUGAUUUUUAUUAGAUAUGUUGUCUUUAUUGAAUACCAAGUGUUCUUUAAAUAUUCUGGAUAUGGUCCUUUUGUGAGAUAUGUGCAUUGCAAAUAUUUUCUUUCAGUUAAUUGCGUUUUCACUUUCUUAAUGGUAUCUUUUGACAAGCAAAAAUCUAAUUUUUUCAUUGUUUUUUCCUUUUAUGUUUUCACAAACAAAAAAAAUCUUUUGUCCAGUCUUUUUUUUUUUUUUUUUUUUUUUUGAGACAGAGUCUCAGUCUGUCACUGAGGCUGGAGUGCAGUGGCAUGAUCUCGGCUCACUGCAACUUCCGUCUCCCAGGUUCAAAGUGAUUAUCCUGCCUCAGCCUCCCAAGUAGCUGGGACUACAGGUGCCCACUACCACGCCCAGCUAAUUUUUUGUAUUUUUAGUAGAGAUGAGGUUUCAUCAUGUUGGCCAGGCUGGUCUCGAGCUCCUGACCUCAGGUGAUCUGCCUGCCUCGGCCUCCCAAAGUGCUGGGAUUACAAGUAUAAGCCACCAUGCCCAGCCCCUCCAGUCUUGAAGAGAUAACUCUUUUCUAGAAAUUGUAUAGUUUAAGCCUUCACAUUUAGGACUAUGAUCCUUUUCAAAUUAAUUUUUUAUUGUGGGUGGUCAAGUGUGGUGGCUUAUGCCUAUAAUCCCACCUUGGGAGGCCCAAGUGGGCAGAUUGCAUGAGCUUAGGAGUUUGAGACCAGCCUGGGCAACACAGCAAAACUCUGUCUGUACAAAAAGUACAAAAAUUAGCCAGGCAUGGUGGUGCACAACUGUUGUCCCAGCUACUUAGGAGGCUGAGAUGGGAGGAUCACUUAAGCCUGGGAGGUUGAGGCUGCAGUGAGCUGUGAUCACGCCACUGCACUCUAGCCUAGGUGGCAGAGCAAGACCUUGUUUAACAAACAAAAAAAAAUUUUAUUUUGAUGUAGGGCAGGGAUCAAGGUGUUUAGUUUCUUCCGGUUGCUCCCACAUUGUUUAUCAAAAAGAUACGCCUUUCCUAUUAUGAAUUGCACUGAUGCCUUUUUAAAAUUUUUAUUUUUUCUUGGGUUCUUUAUUCUGUUACAUUGAUUUAUAUAGCUGUCUUUUUACCCACAUUGUACUACCUUAAUUACUGUAGAUGUUUAGUAAGUUUUGAAGUCUCAUAUUUUAAGGCCUCCACCUUUGUUUUUCAUUCUGGUUAUCUUGGCUAUUCUGGGGCCUUUGCAUUUCCACACAUGUGCAUUUGUACGAACAUACCAGUGGUUUUUCAAACUCUGGGAAUUCCCAAGACACUUUCAAGUGGUCUAUUAAGUCAAAAUUAUUUUUAUACUAGUAUCAAGUUAUUAUUUGCCUUUGUUUUUUCUACUGUGGUGAAAUUUAGUAUAGAUGGUGCAGAAGCAAUUGUGGGUAAAACUGGUGGCCUGUUAUCAUAGUAAAGGCAAUGGCACCUAACUAUUGCUAGUAGCCUCUGCUACCUACUUAAGAGUUCUUUUUUAAGCUGUAUUCACCUAAGAAUAUCUUUAAAGCAGUAAAAAUCAUCAACUUUAAUUUUAUUAAGUUUUGAUCCUUGUGUAACAUCUUAAUAUUCUGUAUAUCAAGUGGGAAUGAAUGCACAGUAGUUGUCUUGAGGGAAAGCCAUUGUGAUUUGUAAACUGAACUAGCAACUGUUUUCAUGGAAUCCCAUUUUAUCUGAAUAAAACAAACUAUGUUUAUUCAGACAUGGGCAUUUGGCAGAAAUUUUCUCAAAAAUAAGCAAACCCUGUCACUUCGAAGAAAACAACUAACAAUAUUUAUUACCAAUAAUAACAUUCUAGCUUUCAAUUGAAAAUUAGAAAUUUGAAAACCUUGUAUCCACCACUGUCUGUUUAACAGAGUCCCAAUAUUUAAAGACAUUUCUCGGCCGGACACGAUGGCACACGCGUAUAAUCCCAGUACUUUGGGAGGCCAAGGCGGGUGGAUCACCUGAGGUUAGUUCAAGACCAGCCUGACCAACAUGGUGAAACCCUGUCUCUACUAAAUACAAAAAAUUAGCUGGGUGUGGUGGUGCAUGCUUGUAAGCCCAGCUACUUGGGAGGCUAAGGCAGGAGAAUCGCUUGAACCCGGGAGGCAGAGGUUGCAGUGAGCCAAGAUCGUGCCAUUGCACUCCAGCCUGGGCAACAAGAGUGAAACUCUGUCUUAAAAAAAAAAUUUCUCAUUAAAUAAGUAGUGAUAUUAACUAAUAUGAUUUUUUGCAUAAUAGAUAUUAAAAUAUAUCAGCAUUUGGAACAUCUGCAACAUUUUCCGAAUGACCAGUUUCAUGUUGCUACAAAAUCAUGCAAGAGUAAAGGACUCAUUCCAAAUGCAAGAUAGGACAAAGGAUUUUAAUGUAAUAGAAUAUGAAAGUUAAUUGAUAUAGUUUCAGAUUCCACAUUGCAACUAAUUUGUUAAGGAUCAUAUCAAGGAAGAAUAUCCCCAGAACCUGAAAAUGCUAUUAAUAUACUUUAUCUUUUAGCAGUUACGUAUUUGAGUUAGACCAACUUUUCUUCGUGUACGUCAACCAAAACAGCAUAUCAGAACAGAUAGAAUGCAAUAGCAGAUAUGAGAAUCUAGCUGUUGUCUAUUAGAGGAUUUUCUCUUAAAAAUGUUACUUUUCUCACUUCUUUCUGUUUAGAAAAUAUUUUUAUAUAGAAUGUAAUUGAUAUUUCUACAUAGAGGCUUUAUCAUUGUUUUUAAAUUAGCUGAUACAUAAUUGUAUUAAAUGUUGAUAGAUAUAGUACAUAUAAACCAAAGAUCUUUGGGGUCCUGGGUUUUUUGUUGUUGUUGUCGUUUGUUUGUUUUUUUGAGACAACCUCACUUUGUCAUCCAGGUUGGAGUGUGGUGGUGCAAUCUCGGUUCAUUGCAACCUCUGCCUCCAGGUUCAAGUGCUUCUCCUGCCUCAGCCUCCCGAGUAGCUGGGACUCCAGGCAUGCACCACCAUGCCCGGCUAAUUUUUGUAUUUUUAGUAGAGACAAGGUUUCACCAUGUUGGCCAGGCUGGUCUUGAACUUCUGAGCUCAAGUGAUCUGCCCACCUUGGCUUCCCAAAGUGCUGGGAUUACAGGUAUUAGCCACCGCACCUGACUGGGGUCCUGAGUUUUUUUAAGCACACUGGGAUCCUGAAUUUUAAAAUGUUUGAAAACCACUGGUAUGCAUAUUCUCGUACACACACACACACACACACACACACACAUUAAAUUACUAGUUUGUUUGUUUAUUUCUACAGAAAUUCAGAUGAGAUUGGAUUGGGAUUUCAUUGAAUCUGUAUAUCAAAUUUGGAAGUAUUGACAUCUUAAAAAUACUAAAUCUUUCAAAACAAGCUUUUUUAAUUUUUUGAGAUGGAGUCUUACUCUGUUGUCCAGGCUGGAGUGCAGUGGUGUGAUAUCGGUUCACUGCAACCUCCACCUCCAGGGUUCAAGCGAUUCUUGUGCCUCAGCCUCUGAGUAGCUGAGAUUACAGGCAAAACAUAAACUUUUAUAACUAUUCACUUAUUUAAGCCUUCUUUAAUUUCUCCUUGAUAAGUUUCAAUGUAGAAGUCUUACACAUCUUAUAUAAAAGUUUUUUCUUUCUAUUAUUACAUUUUGAUGAUAACUAUAGCACGUUUUUAUUUCACUUGUCAGUUUUCUUUACAGCAUAUAGAGUAAAAUACUUUUCUGUAUAAUAAACUUGUAUCCCAGCCUGGGCAAUAUAGUCAGACCUCGUCUCUACAAAAAAAAAAAUUUUUAAAUUAGCUGAGUAUGGUGGUAUGCACCUGUAGUCUUAGCUACCUGGGAGGCUGAGGUGGGAGGAUUGCUUGAGCCCAGGAGGUUGAGGCUACAGUGAGCCAAGGCUGCAUCACUGCACUCUAGCCUGGGUGACAGAGGGGAAACCCUGUCUCAAAACAAAAAAUGAACUUGUUUCCAGCAACUUUUCCAAAUUCGUUUAUUCAUUCUAAUAGUAGAAUCUCUUGGAUUUUCUACUAUGUAAUCAUGUCAUCUGCAAAUAAAGAUGGUUUUAUUUCUUUUUAAUCUUUAUCUUUCUCCCAUAUUACACUUGUUUAAACCUCCACUACGAUGUUGAAUAGAAAUGAUGAUAUUGAAUAUUCUUGUUUUCUUCUCAACCCUAGGAGGAAGGGUUUAUUAUUUCACUAUGAAGUAUAAUGACAAUAAGCAAAAAUUUAUCAAAACUGAAGCAGAGAGAGAAAAAUACUGAAAUAAAAUAGAACUCACUGUGAGCGGUAUAUCAAACUAUAGCAGUAUCAAACUGUCUAACAUCUGUGUAAUUAUUUCACAUAUGUGGAAGAAAAGAAGAGGAUAUGGCAAAAGAAAUGCAUGAAGGGUUGAGAAUUUUCCAAAGUUAAUGAAAGACAUAAGUCAAAGUUUUAAGAAACUCAGUGUAUGCUGAGUGAGAUAUUAAUAAACACAAAGAAAACCAUACGUAGACAUAUUAUAAUCAAACUGUUCAGAUCUAAACAUAAGGAAGGAAUUUUAAGAAGCCUACUCUGUUUCUUUAUUUGUUUUUUUCUUUUUUCUUUUUUGAGACUGAGUCUCGCUCUGUCACCCAGGCUGGAGUGCAGUGGCGCAAUCUCGGCUCACUGCAAGCUCCACCUCCCGGGUUCAUGCCAUUCUCUUGCCUCAGCCUCCCGAGUAGCUGGGACUACAGGCGCCCGCCACCACGCCUGGCUAAUUUUUUGUAUUUUUAAUAGAGACGGGAUUUCACCAUGUUAGCCAGGAUGGUCUCGAUCUCCUGACCUUGUGAUCCGCCUGCCUCGGCCUCCCAAAGUGCUGGGAUUAGCCACUGUGACCAGCCUCUUUAUUUCUUAGGUUUAUAUUUAAGUGAUGGUUUGGACUUUUGAUAAAAAGAGAAAUUGGAAAAGUAGCAGGGUGAUUUUUAAGUUUCCUUGGCAGUGUGAGAUCCCCAUGUCUGAAUAAUCAAGAGGCUCUAUGAGGAAUCUUCAGGAUAUUUUUCAAUAGACAGAAGUAAAAGAGAUGGGAAACCAGUAUUAAUUUAUAAACAGUUAGGUGCCCAACACUGUGCUAGGUCUUGCCACAUGUCUCAUCUCAUUUAAUCUUCUUUAAUUAGGAUCAAGGUCCAUUUUAGCAAUAGUCAAAGAACAGGACUUAGGACACCUAGCUCCUGAUACUUAAAAUUACUUAAAGUGCAUUAUGGUGACACCUCAGAUAAGUCUAAACCUCUUUCUACCCUGCCUAAUCAAAUAUUCAUUUCAAAACACUGUAUGCUGAAAUGAGCCACGUGGGAGUUGAAGAGAAUCAACUAUUCAGGUGGUGAAAAUGUGUGAAUGCAGCUGGCAGAUGAAGUUCCAGUGUGAUGAAUUCCCAGCUUGUCCUUAUUGCUUUAGGCAACAACUGACAGGCCUGACUGGUCAUUGGCUUUCCAUUCCUGGCAUUGAUAUGACUGAAAAUUCUUAAUGUCACAGAUCCUUAAAAGCUGUCUCUGUUAUCAUGGAUAUAAAUGGUGCUGGAGGGUCCUUCUUGCAUAGAGAGGUAAUCAAUAUGGUCUAGAGUUCUUGACCUGAACCUGUAAUUACUUGGACAUUUUGAAGGUAGCUUGUUGUUACAGAAUAUUCAUAUAUUCAGAACAUUGGGACUGAGUUGUGCAUGGAGAGGAGAAAAAUAGAGUCUUUGUCCCCCUUUCUGUUCUUAGUAUUUAAGAGGCCUUCAUAAUCACAGAAGAGAGUGAUAUUAUAGGAUUAGAACAUUGUAUUUUUGGUUUUGGGUGCUGAAGUUCUAAUCUUACCUCUGAAGUGAUCCUGAUAUUUUGCCAAAGUUGUGACUUUAAUAUUCUGUGGCUUGUAAUUGUGAUUUUUCUAAUACCAGAGUAGAAUUCUGGGGAGGAAUUUUUCUAAACCCAAAUACCUCAAUUUGAAGUGAGGCUUGGCUUUAAAUAAUAACACAUUUGAGUUUGAGCUUUUCCUGCAAUUAAGUGGUAUGCUGCAAAAAGGAAUUCGGUUAGCAGAUUUUAUGGCAUCCAUGAUCCAUGGACAAGAGUGAGUAGAAGGAGAUGAUACUGAUAGCAAUUCUUAAGUCUCUAAAUGUUUUUACGUUGUUGUGAUCAGGAUUUCUUUGCCAAAUGAAAACGGUAAAAGUGGAAGCAUGAAACACCUUAACAGUAGGUGUGGAUCCUGAUUGUUCUGUUACUGCUUGGCUUAAGAUACCCCUGGAUGGGCUGGGUGUGGUGGCUCACACCUGUAAUACCAGCACUUUGGGAGGCCGAGGCAGGUGAUCACCAGGUCAGGAGAUCGAGAUCAUCCUGGCUAACACGGUGAAACCCCAUCUCUACUAAAAAUACGAAAAAUUAGCCGGGCAUGGUGGCGCACACCUGUAGUCCCAGCUACUCAGGAGGCUGAGGCAGGAGAAUGUCAUGAACCUGGGAGGCGGAGCUCACAGUGAGCUGAGAUCGCACCAUUGCACUCCAGCCUGGGUGACAGAGUGAGACUCUGUCUCAAAAAAAAUAAAAGAUACUCCUGGAUGGCAUUAUUAUUGGAUUACCUUAUAUGUAGCAUGCUUAGAACAGAGGGGGAAAAAUGAUGGCUUAUAAUAAAGGACUGUUUGAGAACAAGGGCUGUCUUUGUAUCUCCCUUUGCCUGGUAUUGGUACCUUCCACAGAGCAGAUAAUCAAUAUUUCUUGAUAUCUGAUUAAUAAUGAUAGUCAGUGAUGAUUAAUAAUGAUAGUCAGUGAUAAUCAACAAUGAUAACCAUUGUUGAUUUCUUAUAAAACAUAAGGCUUUAAAUAUCAUAACAUGAUUACAAGUUGGUAAUGCUGAGUCUUUAUCUUCGUUACCUGACUUAAACCUGGUCCUCAGUUAGGUUUGCCCUUAUGUUAUGAUCACUAUUCCUUUGUAUGGGCCUAUGGUCAAUUGUGUAAUCAAGUGAAAUAUUUUACAAAGCAUUUCAAAUUAUCUUUUAUGUUAUGCUUUUAAAGCAGCAUUAUGUUUAAACAGAAUAUUUCUUUGAUACAAGCUUUCGUUCUAUUAGGCUUAGCAUGGAAAUUUUUGUUUUAAGGUUAUCUUUAUAAAGCAUUAACUCUAGCGAAGUCUUGCUUUCUGGAAUCUAUGGUCAGGACUGGUAAACAUCUGUUGAAAAGAAUGGACAGGCUUUUGCUUUCUGCUCUUACUAGGCUAACUUUCAGACAUAAUUUUAGGGAUAUUUUGGGCUGCCUUUGAAGCUAGCCCAUUUUGGGCAUAGGACAUUGGCAUAUGGAGAACUGACCCUAAGUUCCAUUAAGCCAAAACAUUUUGUUGAAGAAUUUCCAAAAUUUUAGUGGUGUCAUUACAGUUUAGUUACUUGUACUUAUGCUCUAGACAGCUACAAGAAACAUGGUAGAAUUGACUUCUGUUGUAUGAAGUGGCGUCUUGAGUCUUAAACCUAUUUUACUUUGGUGUUCUACAAUAUUUGGAAAGGCAACAGUUAUUAUAUAAAUGUUCAAUGUUAAGACUGUAGAGAACACUAAGUUACACUUGACACUUAGUUGAACUCCCCAGUCAGUUAUCCCUUCUUUAGAUGAGUUUAUGUAGUUCUCAAAUGAAUGCUUGUAAGACUGGGAACAGAACCCAUUUACUCUUCUGUUUCUCUCUACCUAAAGAGGAAAUAGCGAACCCUAUGAUCUUCUAUUUGGGCUACCUUUUCCUUUUCCUAUGUUAGAAAUUCAUAGCCAUGAGUCAGUACCUCAAAUUAGAGUUUUUAUAGCCAUGAGAGGGACCCAGUUCCUGAAUCAGACGGCUUAAGCCAGAGAGAACUUACUAUGGUGCCUGACACUUUUCAUUUCUCUUGAAACAUGUUCUUAAUCUUUCUCUUUAUUCCAACUCACCCCCUUGAUUAAAUUAAUUACUUUCUCAUGUGUUCUUAAACUUUUACUGUUAUGUGUACCAUCUGAUAUUAAAAUUAGUUGGGUAUUGUUUUUCAUUCUAGACUAUGAGCUCAUCUUUGUACUCCCCGUAGCUCCCUGAAUGGUUUUGACACAUAAUAGGCACUCAGCAAAUGUUAAUGAAUUCAAUAUUUCAUCAUGGAACAUUGAAACCAAGUUCUUGCAUUUGCCUGGAACAGUAAUUACCUCCUCAAAGAGAAACUGUGUGGCUAGGGAGCAGAAGUGACAAGGAGACCAUCUUUCCACUAGAGUCCUUUACAACACGGCCCUGCAUUAUCCAUGCAAACAUAAAUUAAACUCUGUUUUUAACAACAUACUUUUUAGAUUUUUUGUUUUCAACAGUUGAAGAUGCUGAGGUUAAGAGAUUUAAAUAACUUGUCUACUGUCACAGAGCUAGUAGAUGGUAGAGCAAAGGUGUGAAUCUGUGAAACCUUCAUUUUUUCCCGGACCUUGAACAGCAUCUCAGCCAACCUUGAUUUCAUUCAUAUAAUCAUCAGGGCAUGUAUGUGACCUAAGAACUAUUUAUAUUUAUUCUUUUUAUCAUAUACUGUUGUAUCAUAGAGGACACAAAAUACAUCACCUCCACUCUGGAAUGGCACCUCUAUUUUAAAAGACCAUUGGCAAAACCUCUCCGAUGAGAUUUUGAUGAUGGAAGAAUGUUAUAUUCAAGACUCACCUAACUAUACCUGCAUCUCACAGAUACUUAUCCUUUAAGCAGUAAACAGUUAUUUUCAGCUAGGAAAGCCACUCUCAAUCAGGUAGUGGUUUCUUAAGCUGAAAAAGGCUUUCCACUUAAGAAUCGUGAUAGGCCAAGGUCAUUACCUUUCCGUCUACUUAUGGGAAAAUUCAAACUAAAGGAAUACCAGUGUUUGAAACUCACAAUUCACUCUAUAGUGGGGAGUGGGGGAGUGCAAGGCAAGCAAAGUGAUUAUAUUUCCCUUAGAAAUAUUGUUAACUAUUUUUUCAAAAUAUGGAUUAAAGCUUAAAACAUACCCAAAAUACACUGAUUCUAAAUGGACCUGACACCUUGAUCUUCAAUCAUGGAAUAACAUAUGAGUGAGGAUUCCCAAUGGACCAUUGUACACUACAAUAUUUAUUACUAUAAAGAUCUAAGAGCUCUUAGCCACUUUCAAACUUUUAAGAGUUGUUCAGCUCUCAUCCUCUUGACUUGUGUUUUCACAUUUUAAAAUUCUGGUUUGUUUUGUGUGAUGUAUUCAGAAUUACCUCCCUACCUUGAUUUCAGAAUAAUAUUUGGCUUUUUAAUAAAUUUAAGGAAGUGCAGAUAUGAAAGUAUACCCAUUAAUGCAUGGGGACUGCAGUACCUUUAACUGGCCCAUUUUUGGCCUCUGUUUAUCCAUCUGCAAAACGGUGACUAGGUUUUGCCUUCUAGUUAGUUGAUAUGAUAAAAAUACUAAUAAAUUGAAAGGCUGUGGGAUGAUACCUUUAUCAGUUCCUUCUAUGGAUGGUGUAAUUUUCACUGUAGUUUACUUUAGCAUAUAUGGUCUCAAGAAUAAAAAUAAGGAAUUACUAAGGAACCUCCUGAAUGCAAUACUAUUAACAUUCACAAAAAUAGCUAUAUGCAAAUUAGUAGAUGUCCUUAGCUGAGACAAAAUUAUUUUGAGGUUGUGAUCAUGAAAAUUAACGUAAGCUGAUAUAAUUUUGAAUUGUAUGCAUCUGUUUUCAUGAAAGAAACCUAUUUGGAGAGGUUUAUUCUUGAAAAAUUAUGGAAUUAAAAGUUAAAUAGGAUUCUUAACAUCUGUUUUUAAAUCUUGAAUUAUAUGCAGCUCAUAGAGUUUCUCUCCUGUAUGCAUAUUAAAUGAUAUAUAAUGAACUAUCAGUGGUUUUAGGUAACAUUUGGUUACUGAAUACACUAUGCUAAGCAUUUCACGUGCAUUAUCACCUGUAUUCACAAAAUAUUAUGAGGUAAAAGCACUGUUACAAUUUCCAUUUUUUUCAGAAGAAGGUGUGAUUUAGAGAAAUUAAGUACUGUAUACUACCUCCCAACUUUGGCAGUGUCAUCUGAAUUUUUUUGUCAUGAACAUGUUUUACAUAGCUUGUUGUUAAAGUCCAUUUUUGAUAAAUUUUUUGAAUAGACGUGUGUAAUGCAAGUGCAUGAGCUUUGUGGUUAGGUGUAGAUUUCAUUCCCAUUUCUGUAGCUGACUGGGUACAUGACCUUGAGUUUCUUUGUCCAUAAGAAGAGUAUAGGAACAUCUGUCUCUGAUGUUGUAAAAAUUAAUAGAUAAUAAAAAUCUUCUGGCCAUAGUUCAGGUACAUAACAAGGACUCAUUAAAUGUCAGUUGUCACCACCUUACCUUCUUUCCGUAAAAUAUUUCCUUUCUGUCUGUCCCAAAGUUUUAGUUUUGCUCUUCACGUGUAUCAUAAUGUAUUAUGAGCAUCCUAAGAAGAUAGGUUAUACUAUUGUCCCCAUUUUACAGUUGAGAAAACAGACUGAAAUGUUGUAGAUUCCUGGUUGAAUCCCUAUAGCAGUCUGAUUCCAGAGCCUGUGUUUUUAGCUAUAAUGUGCUUUGGUAUGAAGAUAUAUUCCAAUAACAGAUUAUAUUCUGAUAUUUCAGACAAGAAUCUAAAUCCCAGAAAUUAUUCUCUUGUACCCGCAUCCCUACCAUUCAGUUCUUCCCUUCUUAGAUUAUGCUGGUAUAACAGUGUAUCUCCUUAUUACUCUUGUAAUAAAUUUGUAUAUUAAAUGCUCAAACACCCUUCUGAUUCUAAAAUCUGUGAUCCUCUGUCAUUUGGAUACAUUUGCAGUAGUCUGAGGCAGCUCUGAGAAUCGUUUAAGGGAAAAGUAUUCAUCACUGUGGCUUUAGUAAGGAAUAUGUUGACAUUUUUACUCUAACUCCAGGAACUCCUACUGACCUGAAAUUAACCAGUUCAUGGAGGUUUUUGGUGGGGACUAAGGAAUGAAAUUAACUCCCUAAGUCUCCUCUUCUUAAAAAAGAACCUCAAAAUACUGCUGCCCAAAUGGAUUUAACUUUAGUUAUAUUUGUUUUUACAUGCAAAUACAUUUUACUCAGCCUAAAAAGGCAAAGAAAUGAAGCUAUUUGGUUUGCAGAGGAACAGAUCACUCUCCUGAGCAUGUCAGACUGUUUAUGUGUGUUUUUCACUCCAUCUUACUCUGUCUUUGUCUUUCAUGUUCUUUUUUCUGUCUCUGUUUCAGUUUGUCCUGUUUCUAUUGCUCCCUCACAGCAACUAUCUUCCUAUUUUGAUAAUCCUGUUUCAUCUCUAUAAGGAAAAGGCUCUCUCAAGGAUGCAGAAAAUGUUACUAUUUUUAUAACAGUCCCUAAAUACACAAAAGAUUUUAACUUGGCUAUAAAACUUUGUUCUUGGCAUAAAUUUGGCAGAUAGUCUUUCGCCUGGGUGAGACUUUUCAUUGGGAUCCUGGAAGUGUUGGGAUGUCACUAUUCUCCACUCUUGCUUCUCCAAGUAUGACAUUAGUGGUUUUAGCUCUUGUUGACCCAUCUUUAAACCAAAGCUUUAUAGCCUAUUAGAAGCACAGUGUGGAUUUUUCUUAUGAUACGUUGGAAUAAAAGAAAAAACUUUUCUAAAGUUACAAAUGGUUUCAUUUACCAAAAUGACUAUUUCACUUGGAAAGUUUUGUCUUUUCUGUAAAAAUUCCAGGAGUUGGGUGGGCUUGAUGUCCUCUCUCCCAUUCCACCUCCCCACCCACAGACUCAUGUCAGCAAAGAUGCUGAGAGUUUUAUUCCAGUCUUUUAGGAGGCGAGACCUUGACCAAGGAGUAGCUAAGACAUAUUUUUCUGCUUUUAUUUUUUAAAAACUUUUUAAAAAAAGUUUUUCAUAUAACUUUUUCAUCUUGUAUAACUGAAUAAAGAAAAUUUUUUAUUGAAAUUAAAGUAAGGAAAUACCACAGGAUGGCUUUAAAGUGUUUGUUUCACUGUGGCACAUAGGGCAAAUGCCUUGGAACAUCAGUAAUUACUAUUUGAGGCAACCUUUGGGGAUUGAGAUAUAUGCCUUUCAGAUCUGCACUUCAUCUCAUACUUCAUCAUUUAUUGGAUCAAAUAGCAGUCUCAUUUACUUAGGAUCCGUGUCAGCGCCUUGAGCUCCAAAUCGGGUAUUACAUGUCACCCUGUGAAAGAUCCUCUGCGUUACCCCAUCAAUUCUGCUUCAUUAAAGGACUUUAGAUGAUCAUCUUAAAGCUUUAAAGAAAUGAAAAAUAUUUGCCCUCUCCAUAAAAAAAAUGCUUACAACUUUAUCUUACAUUUUACUCAGCAGAGUAACUUUGCCCAGCCCUGGAGCAGAACAUUCUUAAAAGUAAGCCCAGUAAACCUAAGCGUUGGAUGGUUCUGCAAGUAACCACUGCAAAAAAGAUUUCCUGGUAGAACCUGGUGAAAUCUUACAGCAUCCCUCCCAGACCGUGAAUCAUCCCUUUGUCUGGCAUCUCCAGGCUGUCUAUGCUACCUAUCCUUUGGUCACUUGGCAGCCGUCUUGGUUGCAGUAUUACAGUGCUUGUAUUCAGGUAACCUUUAUUUUACUUAAUGGCCCCAAAGCACAAGGGUUGAUGCUGGCAUAUUGUUAUAAUUGUUCUAUUUUAUUACCAGUUAUUGUUGUUAAUCUUUGUGCCUAACUUAUAAAUUAAACUGUAUCAUAGGUCUGUACAUAUAGGAAAAAACAUGGUAUAUACAGUCAUGUAUGGCAUAGUGACCUUUCAGUCAACAGUGGACCUUAUAUGCUCGUGCAACAGUGUUCCAGUAAAAUUAUAAUACCAGAUUUUUACUGUACCUUUUCUAUGUUUAGAUACACAAAUACUGACCAUUGUGUUACAGUUGCCUACAGUAUUCGGUACAGUAACAUACUGCACAGAUUUUUUGUCUGGGAGUAAUAAAAGAGGUUAUAGCAUAUAGCUUAGGUGUGUUGUAGGCUAUUCUAUCUAGGUUUGUACAAGCAUACUCUAUGAUGUUUGCACAGUGAUGAAAUCACCUAAUAACACACUUUCUCAGAACACAUCUUUGUUGUUAAGCAAUGCGUGGGUGUAUAGUGUUGGUACUGUCCAUGGUUUCAGGCAUCCACUGGGGGUCUUGGAACGUAUCCCCAUAGAUAAGGAGCGGGGGACAGUUGUAGAAUAAAUUAUAUUUUGAAACUUGCUUCAUUUAUUGUUAGCAGAUUUCCUUCAAGUCAUUAAAUAUUUUUGAAGACAUAGAUAUUUUAAUGGUGGCUGGAUCAUUUAUUUGUCUGAUUUUCUAUCAUUAAACUUUGAGAUCGUUUAGAAUUUUUUACCAUACUAAUUUAGAAUAAAUAAAUUCCUAUAUAUAAAU